This 253-nucleotide ribosomal RNA is filed under the name uncultured bacterium. Its description in RNAcentral is "partial 16S ribosomal RNA". It matches the Rfam family "Bacterial small subunit ribosomal RNA", at positions 524 to 776 of the family's 1533-position model. The record is from RNAcentral.
UACGUAGGUGGCAAGCGUUGUCCGGAUUUACUGGGCGUAAAGAGCUCGUAGGCGGUUUGUCGCGUCUGUCGUGAAAGCCCACGGCUUAACCGUGGGUCUGCGGUGGAUACGGGCAGACUAGAGGCAGGUAGGGGAGAAUGGAAUUCCCGGUGUAGCGGUGAAAUGCGCAGAUAUCGGGAGGAACACCGGUGGCGAAGGCGGCUCACUGGCUCAUUUCUGACGCUCAGGCGCGACAGCGUGGGGAUCAAACAGG